This is a non-coding RNA of Podarcis lilfordi (Lilford's wall lizard), 69 nucleotides long. The record is from the annotation of a GenBank genome assembly. Lineage: Eukaryota; Metazoa; Chordata; Lepidosauria; Squamata; Lacertidae.
GAAGUGGCUCAAUGGCAGAGCACCUGCUUUGCCUGCAGAAGGGACCAGGAUCAAACCCUGCUAUCUCCA